Molecule: long non-coding RNA, 1202 nt
Organism: Beta vulgaris subsp. vulgaris (sugar beet)
Lineage: Eukaryota; Viridiplantae; Streptophyta; Magnoliopsida; Caryophyllales; Amaranthaceae
Exons: 2
Source: RefSeq, a predicted model, not a curated record
UUGUCGGUUUAGUGAAACAUAACCCAAACUUUUAAGAAAUCCAAUCUUAUUCAUUUCUUCUUCCCCGUGAAAACCCAUUUCAUCCAAAACCCCAAUUCUCCUCUGCGUCGCUGUCGUUACUAAAGCUCGCCGGAGCUCCUCUCGUAUGCACUGUUGUUCGGCCGUUUUCUUCCCACCGAAGCUGCGUGUGGUGUUCCUUUUCUCUCUGUUUCUCGUUGCUCUCUGGUGGUUCGCGGUCGAUGUUGUCGCUCGCCGGUGAAAGCCAAUCGUCGCGGAGUUGUUGUUGCUGCUGCUGCCGUGGUUUUUCCCUCCCCUGUUCUGGUUCGCUGCUGCUCUCCCCGCCGUGUAUUGCUGGUGUUAUUGGUGGUGCUUCUCGACAGGGGUUAGGUGUUCUCUUUCUUUCUUCUGGUUAUUGUUGCUACUCUUUGUUGUUGCUGUUGUUGCAUCGUUGUUAUUGGGGUUUUUGUGGUGGUGUUGUUCUUGUUGUUCGUGGUUGUUGUUGUUGGUGGGUUUCGUUGCUCCUUUGUGCUAUUAUGUUGGUGCACUUCUUUCUUCUGCAAUUGCUGAUUUAAGAACUCUAUUAUGGGUCAGGUACAACUUGUUUCUAUUUUGUUUUAUCUCAUAUUACUUGCUAGCAAUUUGUGGUGAAGUGAAUUGUUUAGGAGUUUAAUUAUGGAGUAUAGUUUCAUUGAGAGGAGUUGUGGUGGUAGUGUUGUUGGGUGGUGGUUGUUCGGUUACUGUGAUUGAUAUUGUGCGGUUGGAGUUAAUAUAUUUGAAGAUAAGGUAGAAGUUAUAAAAUUAGUUAGUUUUUAUUUGCGGGAAUUAGUUUGAUUAACAUAGUGGUUGUAUUAAGAAAAGUUAAUUAGAUUAGUUAUUGAUUAUUGUUAUUUUUGUGAGGUAAAUUAUUUUGGAGUUCAAGUUAGAGUUGGCGAUCAAUUGCCCAUGAUUAUUCUUGGUGAUGAAUUACUAAGGAAUCAGUGAUGUGUAUAAGGUUUGAUGUUCAGAGCUCGGAAUUCAAAGUGGAGCAAGAUCAAGGUGUCAUAGUGGCUUAAGGAUUAAGCUUGUAUUUUAGAUAGUUGGUUUGAGAACGGUUAUUGAUAUUUUCGGUGUAUAAUAUUUGGGAAUAUUGGUUGAGAUAUUGGUGUAAUUAAGGAUAUUUUUCCGCUGCAAAGUUAAUUUACUUAAGAGUUAAUUGUUGUUUA